UACGGGGGGGACAAGCGUUGUUCGGAUUCACUGGGCGUAAAGGGCGCGUAGGCGGGCUUUCAAGUCGGGUGUGAAACCUGCCGGCUUAACCGGCAGCCUGCAUCCGAUACUGUAGGUCUUGAGUACGGAAGAGGAGAGCGGAAUUCCAGGUGUAGCGGUGAAAUGCGUAGAUAUCUGGAAGAACACCAGUAGCGAAGGCGGCUCUCUGGUCCGAUACUGACGCUCAAGCGCGAAGGCUAGGGGAGCAAACAGGAUUAGAAACCCCAGUAGUCC
Molecule: ribosomal RNA, 273 nt
Filed under: uncultured prokaryote
Description: partial 16S ribosomal RNA
Rfam family: Bacterial small subunit ribosomal RNA
Source: RNAcentral